UAUAUCUUUGUAGCUUUGUAAUAGUUAAACUCACGAGCCAAACUAUCAUUUUUUAUCUUAGUAUUGCCUUUAACCAGCCUUUUUCUCUCUGAUUUUUUCAUUUGAUUCAACUGUGGUAAUAUAAACACAAAAAUCCAAAUGUAAACACCGUAAUCUGAUAAGCAAAAAUAAAUUUAACUAAAUUUCAUAUUCCUGAAAAAUAAGACAAAAACCAAUGAUGUCUAUAAUAUACAAAAAGAGACAUAAAUCUUAUCCAAUUUAAAAUACCCACAAAAUUAUACAAAAAACAAAAAAAGGACAAUUUGCAAAACAAUUAGUUACAAAAAGAAGUUGAAUAUUCAAGAAAUAUUUUAAUUCGCAAGCAAAAGUAUAUGAUUAGAUUUUAUAUACCAAUUGGUUGUAGUAAUCCAGGUAUAUAUAGUGAUUUUAACGCGAAAAGAAAUAAAAAAGUUUCGUUACGUUGAGAUGAUGACCUUUUGAUUGAGAAUAUUGCACUCCAUAGCAGAGAACGAUCACAAGUUUUGGUUGACAAUCUGUAGGAAUAAAUACAUUUGAACAGUUUCAUCCCUCUAAACUGUUAAACAACCCCAAAGUAUAUCAUAAGGUGAAUAGACAAAGAUUUGAAGAUUCAACAAUA
RNAcentral lists this long non-coding RNA (637 nucleotides) under Nicotiana benthamiana. RNAcentral's name for it is "long non-coding RNA (NBEN_LNC002605)". The record is from RNAcentral. Lineage: Eukaryota; Viridiplantae; Streptophyta; Magnoliopsida; Solanales; Solanaceae.